RNAcentral lists this non-coding RNA (87 nucleotides) under uncultured Tubulinea. The record is from RNAcentral. Lineage: Eukaryota; Tubulinea.
ACGAAAUACAAGAAGAAGAGUUGAUAUGAUUUUUUGCGCCUUCAUAAAUAUAUUGACAUUGAGGUUUUUUUUUUUUUUUUUUUUUUU